UAGCAGUGAUGAAAAAUUCCUGUGUCGAAGACUUUUUUUGGUCUAUGAUGGUUUACACAAUCCUCUAAGAAGUUCUGAGGUA
Molecule: non-coding RNA, 82 nt
Organism: Capsicum annuum
Lineage: Eukaryota; Viridiplantae; Streptophyta; Magnoliopsida; Solanales; Solanaceae
Source: Rfam